UACAGAGGGGGCAAGCGUUAUCCGGAUUCACUGGGUUUAGAGGGUGUGUAGGCGGGCUGUUAAGUCAGUGGUGAAAUCUCCGGGCUCAACCCGGAAACUGCCAUUGAUACUAUCAGUCUUGAAUCUUGUUGAGGUGGGCGGAAUAUAUCAUGUAGCGGUGAAAUGCUUAGAUAUGAUAUAGAACACCGAUUGCGAAGGCAGCUCACUAAACAAGCAUUGACGCUGAGGCACGAAAGCGUGGGGAUCAAACAGG
This 253-nucleotide ribosomal RNA is filed under the name uncultured bacterium. RNAcentral describes it as "partial 16S ribosomal RNA". It matches the Rfam family "Bacterial small subunit ribosomal RNA", at positions 524 to 776 of the family's 1533-position model. The record is from RNAcentral.